RNAcentral lists this ribosomal RNA (253 nucleotides) under uncultured bacterium. RNAcentral describes it as "partial 16S ribosomal RNA". It matches the Rfam family "Bacterial small subunit ribosomal RNA", at positions 524 to 776 of the family's 1533-position model. The record is from RNAcentral.
GACGUAGGGCGCGGGCGUUGUCCGGAUUUAUUGGGCGUAAAGAGCUCGUAGGCGGCUUGUUGCGUCGACCGUGAAAACCCGGGGCUCAACUUCGGGCUUGCGGUCGAUACGGGCGGGCUAGAGUUCGGUAGGGGAGACUGGAAUUCCUGGUGUAGCGGUGAAAUGCGCAGAUAUCAGGAGGAACACCGGUGGCGAAGGCGGGUCUCUGGGCCGAUACUGACGCUGAGGAGCGAAAGCGUGGGGAGCGAACAGG